RNAcentral lists this ribosomal RNA (494 nucleotides) under uncultured bacterium. RNAcentral describes it as "partial 16S ribosomal RNA". It matches the Rfam family "Bacterial small subunit ribosomal RNA", at positions 28 to 507 of the family's 1533-position model. The record is from RNAcentral.
GACGAACGCUGGCGGCGUGCUUAACACAUGCAAGUCGAACGGAAAGGCCUGCUUUCCCUUGUGGAUUGCGGGUGCUCGAGUGGCGAACGGGUGAGUAAUACGUGAGUGAUCUGCCCCCAACUUGGGUAUAAGCCUGGGAAACUGGGUCUAAUUCCCGAUAGGACUGCAGGGUGGUGCCUGUGGUGGAAAACGAUUUUCUAGUGGUUGGGGAUGAGCUCGCGGCCUAUCAGCUUGUUGGUGGGGUAAUGGCCUACCAAGACGGCGACGGGUAGCCGGCCUGAGAGGGUGGACGGCCACAUUGGGACUGAGAUACGGCCCAGACUCCUACGGGAGGCAGCAGUGGGGAAUAUUGCACAAUGGGCGGAAGCCUGAUGCAGCGACGCCGCGUGGGGGAUGACGGCCUUCGGGUUGUAAACUCCUUUCGACCGCGAGGAAGCCACCUGGUUGGAAGGGUGGUGACGGUAGUGGUAGAAGAAGCACCGGCUAACUACGUG